UGGGGAAUAUUGCACAAUGGGCGCAAGCCUGAUGCAGCGACGCCGCGUGAGGGAUGACGGCCUUCGGGUUGUAAACCUCUUUCAGCAGGGACGAAGCGCAAGUGACUGUACCUGCAGAAGAAGCGCCGGCUAACUACGUGCCAGCAGCCGCGGUAAUACGUAGGGCGCAAGCGUUGUCCGGAAUUAUUGGGCGUAAAGAGCUCGUAGGCGGUCUGUUGCGUCGGAAGUGAAAUCCCGGGGCUUAACCCCGGGCUUGCUUUCGAUACGGGCAGACUAGAGUGUGGUAGGGGAGACUGGAAUUCCUGGUGUAGCGGUGAAAUGCGCAGAUAUCAGGAGGAACACCGGUGGCGAAGGCGGGUCUCUGGGCCACUACUGACGCUGAGGAGCGAAAGCGUGGGGAGCAAACA
This 407-nucleotide ribosomal RNA is filed under the name uncultured bacterium. Its description in RNAcentral is "bacterial SSU rRNA". It matches the Rfam family "Bacterial small subunit ribosomal RNA", at positions 355 to 774 of the family's 1533-position model. The record is from RNAcentral.